Malaclemys terrapin pileata is the source of this 4583-nucleotide long non-coding RNA. RefSeq lists it as uncharacterized. The record is from RefSeq and is a predicted model, not a curated record. Lineage: Eukaryota; Metazoa; Chordata; Testudines; Emydidae. The transcript has 3 exons.
GUUGACCUUUCAUGACUCAGAAGAAUUGCAAGUGGCCCAAGACGCUGAGAUAUGUUUGCUGAAGUCAGGAGAACUGAUAAGGCGAUGCCCCUGGCUCCUGUACCGUUGAUCUCUCGGCAGCUUUUGUGCUAUCUUUGUUCGCUGACGAAGACAGAGACCAUGAUGGUUCAUGAAGCGAGUACACCAACCUGCUGAUGCGACAAACAUCGAUGGCUUUACUGACUUGUAUUUGUCAUCUUUCGACAUUUGCAGAACACACAGACGAAUUCCAUUUCUAGUGACAAUGUACCCAUUUUGUCAACAUUCAACAACCCAAUUACUGAGAUCUUUCUCCAGCUCAGGAAAUGAAUCGCACCUCGUUGGACAUUUUUUCUUGCUUCUUGGCAUGUCUUUUAGUGUUGUUUUAUUUUUUCACCAUUCUUUUACUUGCUUCUCAUUGAUACAGAAUUCACAAGCAGCGGCACAAUUAUUGUUUGCUUCUGCAUAUUCAAGUUUGAAUGCUGCGUGAUAAGCAGACCUUUUUCUUUUGAUUUCACCGUUGUUCAUUUUAAAUACUAGUAUGAAAAUAGAUUAUUAUUAUUGUAGUUUAUAGAUUUUGUAGGACUUUAUAUAGGAAUGUCACCUGCUUUAUCACUGUCAAAUUAUUAUUGUUCUUUGUUUAUUUCAAAGCAGCCCUGUAGAUUGGCAUGUCUGUGGGGAUAACAGGCUAUUUCAAUUUUAUUCAGUAUUCCAUCGAUUCUGCGCAUUAUAUUUUCAUAUUGGCUCGAGAUUUAUGAGGUCCAUUGGUAGAAAUGCAUAAAGAGAUCAAAUUACACAGUAGCAGACUGACACCAGUGCUAUAGUACUAUCGUUCAUUGUGUUUUUCUGAUUGGCUUGUAAGGCAUAGUAUUUUGUGAAAUGCAUGGAUCAAAUGUCAUGCAGAUCUGCAGCACUGCUCUUUUAGUAUUCCUUUCAAGCCAAUGGCGCGCCACUUCCCGCAGCUCCCAUUGGGCUGGGAACGGCGAACUGAGGCCACAGGGAGCUGAGGGGCUCCAUGCCUGCAGACACUCCAGGUAAACAAAACGACAAUGUAUUAGAUAUUCAAUUCAAUGAUUCCAUAGAGUUUAAAAUCAUUAAAUUUUGGUGUAGACCCAUUUAUAAGCCAACCCCCGCUCUUUGAUGCGGCACUUUUUUACCAAAAAUAUUCGGCUUGUGAAUAUAUACAGUAUAUGUUUUUUAUUACUCCUUUUAAAUUGCAAACCUACUUGACUCAGUACCUUCUUUCAGAGCACAGAAUAGGAACAACAAGUCCUCUCAGACCUGCAAUGUGUUUAUUCCUGGAGCAUUUGGAACCCAUUAUUGCAACCAAAUAUGGUAAUAGUAUUUACUUGUCAACCUAUUUAAACUUGAUUACUUUACUAAGAAGAGCGUGGAUACCCACCAUCAUUUCCUUCUUGUUCCUUUUAUAGACUCUCAGCUGACAUUAAAAUUAGCAAUAAUUUUCAUACCAGUGCCCUUCUCUCAUCUAUAAGCUGUGAUUCAUCAAUUCUGGAACCACUGAAAAGACAAAAAAAAAUUGUUUUACUAAGCUGAAGGUCUACCCUUCAGGCUUGAAAAUUCACAGAAUAUUUUGAACAUCAAAAUCUCAAUACAUGUUUAAAUGCUAGGAGUGAGGAUUGUGAAGUUUGUGGUUUCUGCUCUUGCUUUGGCUUUAUGUAACACAAAACCAACUUUUAUAUUUUUAACAGGGCUUUGGAGCUGUGCUCCGGAGCAAGCUCCAGGCAAAAACCUGCAGCUCCACUGCUCCGGAGCUGCUCCGCACUCCAGCUCUGGGCUCCGCUCCAAAGCCCUGAUUUUUAAACUGAACAUUCCAGUUCAUAUAAACUAGUCAGUGGUUUGGGGUAUUUUGGAAACAAUAACUGAAAGAGGGUGUUGUUUCAUUCUGAAAGGCAGUGGUAAAUUUUGUUCAACAAACUUUCUAUACUGAUUUUAGUAUAUGGCUAGACUAUGCACACAACUAAGGCAUUCUGACUUGACAGAUCAAAUAUAACCGAAAAUGAUGCUUCCACAGGAGUAAUUUAGUCAAUGGUCCGUGUGUUAAGUAUUCUGUAGGGACUUGAUAUCGUUGGCCUCAUCUAAAGCCAAUUGAAGUCAAUGGGGGACUUUUUAUUGACUUCAGUGGGCUUUAGCUCAGACCACAUGGGAGCACAAAAUCAGUCAGAAAUAUGCAUUUUAAAAUGUCCUUUUCUACAGUUUUAAUGAUAAACCAUAAAGACUGACACAGAGCAUUAUGGAUAAUGAAAUAAAGGAUACGUAUUGCAAAAAAGACUAUCUGUACAUUUUCAUGAUAUCUAAGAUGCUCAUAUUUUCAAGCUGAAAAAUCAGGCACUAGUCUAUCAAUAUUUUUAAGAGUGCAAAAUAUUCACUCAAAAGACAAUUAUACUUUUUUAAAAGUAUAUUGGUGUCACUACUACCAGCUUCUGACUCAACAGCAACAUAUGCAUAUUUUGGAGGAUUUUUCCCUCAUAAAAUAUUAAUGUUCUGAGUGAAUCUAUCAUGAAACAAUAAACAGGUGUCUUAACCUUUAUUUUGAGCAAAUGAACAGUUCUGAUAGUAUAUAAACUCAUCAGAAUUUUUUCUUUUCACUCCAGACAUUGUUCAUCACACUGAACACUCAUUCCCCUGGAUUGUUUGCUCCUGGUAAACACAGAGCAAAUUCAACUUAGUAUGGCACUAUGUCCUGAACAAACAUUUUAUUAUAAAGAAAAAAUCUGAACAUGUUGACUGAUUAAAUGAAAAACCAGUAUAUCCCAGGUAUCUCAAAAAGAAGUUCCUGGGAUACCAAAACAUCAUAUGAAAAAACAGGCCAUUUCUGGAAAAAGCAGGAUAUAGGGUUUUGUUAACAGUAGCUCAAAUUGGAAAAAAUAAUUUCAGUGGUUCUCAACUCUCAAGCACUUCCAUGAGAUUUUUCUUAAAAUAAAUGUUUAAAAAACAAAACAGAAGACAUUUGCACCCAAAGUACAUUCUGUAUACACUAUUCAUAUAUUUUCCUCCUGUAAUACUACAUGUUUAGUUAAUUAAAAUUAACUAUUUCCAUUCAGUACAUCUGAAUGUACUUGAGCAUUAUCAUUCUCAUUUUACAGCAAGAAAAACUGAGGCACACAGCUAGUUAGUAAUUUGCUCAAGGUCAUACAGCAAGCCAUUGACAGAACUAUGACUAGAACCAACGAUUCCUAACUCCCAGUUACUUGCCCUAAGCACUAAACAUAUUCUGUUCUUUCAAAUGUGUAAAGAGUAGCAGGUUCCUACCAAAAGCAAAUAAAGCACACCAAUUAAGCAACAAAAAAGAAUAUUAUAAAUGCCUUUCACAAUAGUGUAUCUGAAAUUAUAGUGAAUCCAUCAAGUUUAGAUAAAAUUAAUGUUGCUUACUACCAACAACUUGAAGCACAACUUUACUUAGUAACAUUUUUUCAGUUAUUUCAUAUCUUUUAAUGAUGGUAAUAUCUCACUUUCAUGUUUUAGUUGCAAUCUGUCCUGUAAAAAUUACAGAAGUUAAUUGGACAUCAUUUCUUACAGCAGAAGACUACUCCUCUGAUUAAUAAAUGUAAUAUAAGCAUCAAAAAGGGAGAGGGACAUCAACUGAACAGAAAAUUACCUCUGUCGCCCUGGACAAGUUAUCUACCAGCUCUAGGCCUCAGUUCCCUGAUUAUAAAAUGAAGAUAAUAAUUCCUCAGAGGGGUGUAGUUAAUUAGUUAAUAAUCUACCAUAAAGUACUUUGAACAUGAAAACCACUGCAAAAAUUGUGGAGACCCCUAACAUGGAUUUAGUUUAAUUGUGCAAGGGGCUCGCAUUCCAUGGUGAUGAACACAAUAUAAACAUCUAGAUAUGAGGUUCUCAAACUUCAAUACAUCGAGACCCCCUUCUGACAACAAAAAUUGCUACACGACCCCAGGUGGGGGGACCAAAGUCUGAGCCUGCCUGAGCCUUGCCGUCCCAGACACAGGGGCCAGAGCCAAAGCCAAAGCCAGAGCCCCACUGCUCUGGAUGGGAGAGACAAAGCCAAAUCCCAAGGGCUUCAGCCCCAGGCAGGGGGCCUGUACCCUGAGGCCCUCCCCCCCCCCCACACACACACACACGCACUCAGUCCUGAAGCCCUUGGGCUUUGGCCCCGGCCAGUGGGGCUCAGGCUUCGGCCCUGGGCCCCAGCAAGACUAAUACCAGCCCUUGGCAACCCCAGUUUGACAACUGAUCUAGAUAGAUGGCUAUGUUAGAUUGGAUAAAGUGCUAACUACUAAUGUGCUUUCACAGGAGAAUUGUACAACUCCAUUUUUAAAUGGCUGCUAUGGAAAGAAAAAGAUCUAAUAAUAAGGGCCAGAUUCUCGCUUACGCUAAGGCCCCUUUACACUACCACAGUGGUGUAAAGAAACUUAACUGUAAAUAAGAAUCUGGACCUAAAACUGGUAUGGUUUUUUAAUGUGCAAAAAACAGUAUAAACUCUCUAAACUAGUGUCAAACUCAUACAUAUUUUGCUGUGAGAAAAACAGUGCUUUUACUUUAUCAUGUCAUUUCAUGUAUGCUUCUAAAAAUAAAUAACAUUUAUUUUA